CCCGAGUUGGGCUCUUCUGACCGGGUUACACUGGGGUACAGUUAUGCUGCCUUGCUUGCUAGGAUUGCUGGAUAUACAGACACAGCUUGAUUAGGGAUGCUAACUUUCUAAUUGCAUAAAACCCAAUACUCUUCUUCUGCCCUGAGGUCCUGCCCCUGCUCACUCCAUCCCCACUCCCUCUAGCUCCAUAAUUUAAGAUUUUUAAGAGCAGGUUAGACAAACAGCUGUCAGUGACAGCUUUCAGAGUGGUAGCUCUGUUAGGUUGUAUCAGCAAAAAGAAGGAGGAGUCCUUGUGGCACCUUAGAGACUAACAAAUGUAUUUGGGCAUAAGUUUUCUGGGGGCAAAACCCACUUCAUCAGAUGUAUGCAGUGGAAAAUACAGAAGGAAGCUCUAUAUGUUACAGAGAAUAUGAAAAAAAUGGGGGUUGUCAUACCAACUAAUUUAAUUUAAUUUGCAGUUUCUCAUUGGAGUCUGUUUUUGAAGUUUUUUUUGUUGAAGAAUUGCCACUUUUAGGUCUGUAAUUGAGUGUCCAGGGAAGUUGAAGUGUUCUCUGACUGAUUUUUGCGUAGAAACUGUCCGGUUUGGACAGUGUACAUGGCAGAGGGGCAUUGCUGGCAUAUGAUGGCAUAUAUCACAUUGGUAGAUGUGCAGGUGAAUGAGCAACUGAUGGUGUGGCUGAUGUGAUUAGGUCCUAUUCAAGGGACAUACCUAUUAAGGGACACCAUCAUAGGACAUCACAUCAGCUACAGCUGCCGCUGCCAUUAUGCAGCACAGAGACCAGGUCAGGCCAGCUCUGCAGCUGCGCUACCCCAGGAGCUCACAGCCCCAUCUGGCGCAUUGUGAGUUGGGGCUGCAGCGGAGAGGGGACAGUGGGGGAGGGACUGAGGGUGAGCCUCCCAGGCCAAGAGUUCAGGGGGUGGGCAGGAUGGUCCCACGGGCCGUAGUUUGCUCAUCCCGGUCUACAUAAUACUUAGUGUUGCAUUGAGUGCAGGGGACUGGACUAGACCUCUCGCUGGAGGUCUUUCCAGUCCUACAAUUCUAUGAUGGGAGUUCACACAUCAGGACUAUUAUUUCAGGCUGCCUGCAGACCAAAGCAGACAACACUUUUGGCAGGCUACCUUUGUUAACCAUGAGGACUAGAAACCUUAUUAAAAAAAUAGUUUAGAUUUGAAAGAAUCUGACUCUGCCCCUUCAUUCACAAAUGUGUCAGAUGGGCAAUGUGUUUGACACGUCUGCUCUGCUUAAGUAUACUUAAGUAAAUAUUAAGUCCUGAUGUCUCCAAGUAACAAAUUGGGGCUUGUUUUAUGUGAUCACAAUUUAUCUUGUGCUCCAGUAUGAUCUUCAGAGAAUGUGGUCAGCAGAAAGUCAAGUCUCUGGAGAAGGCUAGGUGCAUGUUGCAGACAGAGGCUCCUCUGAGAAUGGAACAUGAGGUCCCUUUAGGUUGACCAGACUCCCAAUAUUAGGGCCUUCAUCUUAUAUAGGCAACUAUGCCUCCCUCCAAAAAAGUGUCCCGAUUUUUUUGUACUUGCUAUCUGGUCAUCCUAGGGCCCUUGCAGCAGCAAGAGCUGGGAGGAUGCUGAGAAUGGAAUAAGAAGCCCUCUGUAGGACGGCAGGUAUGAUGCAGAGACUUGGUUUAUUUAUUUUACAAGCACAUCAUAGUGGUAAAGCCAAAAAUACAACUGUAUGCCUGCCUCUUUAGGGGGCAGAGCUGUGGCUCAAGCAAGUAUUUUAAAAAGGGUCUUCACUCUUCCAAGAUUUUGAAAAUGACACCUACUUCAAGCAUUAUGUCCAUUUCUUUUCUAGGAAUGGACAUAAUGGGUGGUGAUACCUGGAUCCUCAAGCACUUAGAGCCAUUCUCUCUGGAAUUAACUUGAUUAUCACACCAAGAUCCAUGGACUACUUUAAGUCUCCCAGAGCACUUUCAAUGACCCAUGGAGCUGCUGCUUCUAUCCUGGUGGAGUAUCUGGAGUCUAGUUGCUGCAGAAGAGAUGUGGGACCAGAAGGGGAAGUGUCCACAAGAAAAUCUCAAUCUUUAAAAAUGUUUCCCAAUAUAAAAAAGUUUGAGAAGAACUGGGUGUCAUAAACAGAUAGUUAAGGGUUAAUGUCUCUUUUACCUGUAAAGGGUUAACAAGCUCAGUGAACCUGGCUGACACCUGACCAAAGGACAAAUCGGGGACAAGAUACUUUCCAAUCUUGGUGGAGGGAAGCCUUUGUUUUGUGCUUUUUGGGGUGUUCUUUGUUCUCUCUUGGGGCUAAGAGAGGCCAGACAUGCAACCAGGUUCCUCCAAUCUUUCUGGAACAGUCUUCCAUGUUCAAAAUAGUAAGUAUUAGCUAGAAAAGGCAGAUUAGAUUUAUGUUUUUCUUUAUUUGCAAAUGUGUAUUUUACUGGAAGGAUUUUUACCUCUGUUUUCUGUAACUUGUAUCUCAUGCUAGGGGGGAGGGAGUCCCUCUGGUCUAUGUAAAGCUGAGACCCUGUAAACAUUUUCCAUCUUGAUUUUACAGAGAUAAUUUUUACUUUUUCUUUCUUUAAUUAAAAGCUUUUCUUUUAAGAACCUGAUUGAUUUUGUCCUUGUGUAAGACCCAAGGGGAUUGGGUCUGAACACACCAGGGAUUGGUGGAGGGAAAGGAGAAAGGGGGAAGGUGAAUUUCUCUCUGUUUUAAGAUUCAAGGAGUUUGAAUCACAGUAAUCUCUCAGGGUAACCCAGGGAGGGGAAAAUCUGGGAGGGGAAAGGUAGGGGAAUGGUUUAUUUCCCCUUGUUUUAAGACUGAAGGGGUUUGGGUCUUGGUCUCCCCAGGGAAGGUUUCGGGGCGACAAGGAGUGCACCAGACACUGAAAUCUCUGGUUGGUGGCAGCGCUAUCAGAUCUAAGCUAGGAAUUAAGUUUAGAGGAGUACAUGCAGGUCCCCACUUUCUGGACGCUAAAGUUCAAAGUGGGAAAGAGACCCUGACACUGGGUUAUACGAUAAACACAUUGAAAACAAUAUUCUGCCUUAUAAAAUUAAAUGUUUUUUUAAUAUGGGACUGAUAUGUAGCUGUUAAGGGAUUUUAGCAAGUGUGGCCCUAGGGAAAAAAAAGUUGUUUUUCUGUGUGAUAAAUUUUAUCCAUUCCUAGCAUCUUCUUUGCUCCUAUUCCUUUUGUUACCCAGCUUCUUGCAUCCGCACUAUACCAUAUAAUCAUUAUUACUGUAUUCUACAGAUGUGGUCUAAACCACAUCUUUCAUUAGUGUCUCUACAAUGUUUUGGGACAUUACUAUAUAGCAUGCAUCUGUGUGAUUUUUCUUGCUAAUUUAAGUGUGCAAGAAUGGUUAUCCUGGUAUACAUCUUGUUUUUGUGUGCUAUUUCAAAGAUCAUACAUCAAAAUAAAAAUAUAUUUGAAAGUGUGAUCUCAUGUACAUGUGAUAAAAUAAAAAUAAGUACUGAGAAUG
This is a long non-coding RNA of Gopherus flavomarginatus (Mexican gopher tortoise), 3425 nucleotides long. RefSeq lists it as uncharacterized. The record is from RefSeq and is a predicted model, not a curated record. NCBI's taxonomy places the organism in Eukaryota, Metazoa, Chordata, Testudines, Testudinidae. The transcript is spliced from 2 exons.